GAUGAACGCUAGCUACAGGCUUAACACAUGCAAGUCGCAGGGUAACAUGAGGAAAGCUUGCUUUCCUUGAUGACGACUGGCGCACGGGUGAGUAACGCGUAUCCAACCUUCCCAUAACUACGGGAUAACCCGUUGAAAGACGGCCUAAUACCGUAUGAUAUCGUUUGCUGACAUCAAAUAACGAUUAAAGGUUUAGCGGUUAUGGAUGGGGAUGCGUCUGAUUAGCUUGUUGGCGGGGUAACGGCCCACCAAGGCGACGAUCAGUAGGGGUUCUGAGAGGAAGGCCCCCCACAUGGGACCGGAGCCCCGGCCAACCCCCCUAGGGGCGGCAGCGGUGAGGAAUAUUGAUCAGGGGGCGAGGGCCUGACCCAGCAAAGUGGGUGGAAGGACGCCGCCCUUAUGGGUUUAAACCUUUUUUUGUGGGGGAAUAAGGUGCGGGACGUGUCAUGCAUGCAGGUUACCCAAUAAAUAAGGACCGGCUAAUUCCGUG
Molecule: ribosomal RNA, 490 nt
Filed under: uncultured bacterium
Lineage: Bacteria
Description: partial 16S ribosomal RNA
Rfam family: Bacterial small subunit ribosomal RNA
Source: RNAcentral